This 242-nucleotide ribosomal RNA is filed under the name uncultured bacterium. RNAcentral describes it as "partial 16S ribosomal RNA". It matches the Rfam family "Bacterial small subunit ribosomal RNA", at positions 117 to 353 of the family's 1533-position model. The record is from RNAcentral.
GUGGGUAACCUGCCUUAUAGUGGGGGAGUAGCCUUUCGAAAGGAAGAUUAAUACCGCAUAAGAUUGUAGUAUCGCAUGAUAUAGCAAUUAAAAGGAGCAAUUCGCUAUAAGAUGGACCCGCGUCGCAUUAGCUAGUUGGUGAGGUAAUGGCUCACCAAGGCGACGAUGCGUAGCCGACCUGAGAGGGUGAUCGGCCACAUUGGGACUGAGACACGGCCCAGACUCCUACGGGAGGCAGCAUG